RNAcentral lists this ribosomal RNA (468 nucleotides) under uncultured bacterium. Its description in RNAcentral is "partial 16S ribosomal RNA". It matches the Rfam family "Bacterial small subunit ribosomal RNA", at positions 28 to 507 of the family's 1533-position model. The record is from RNAcentral.
GACGAACGCUGGCGGCGUGCUUAACACAUGCAAGUCGAACGGAAAGGCCCUGCUUUCGUGGGGUGCUCGAGGCGAGAGGGGGUGUGAAACGCGAGAGUAACCUGCCUUAGAUUCUGGGAUAACUUCACGAAAGUGGGGCUAAUACCGGAUAGUAGCUCCUGCCGCCUGGGGGGGGUUGGAAAGUUUCGGCGGUUGGGGAUGGGCUCGCCGCUGAUCCGCUUGUCGGUGGGGUAGUGGCUUACCAUGGCUUUGACGUGUCGCCGGCCUGAGCGGGUGACCGGCCACCGGGGGACAGUGAUACGGCACGCAGUAGUGGGGGAGAGAGCAGAAGGGGAGAAAGCAUGAUGGACGGAAGCCGGAUGCGGCAACGACGCGUGCGGGAUGAAGACCUUUGUGGUGUGGGAAGAUGGCACUGGUUUUGUGGUGGUGUUGAGGGUAAUUGGAGAAGAAGCGCCGGCUAACUACGUG